Molecule: ribosomal RNA, 433 nt
Filed under: uncultured bacterium
Lineage: Bacteria
Description: partial 16S ribosomal RNA
Rfam family: Bacterial small subunit ribosomal RNA
Source: RNAcentral
AGCGAACGCUGGCGGCAGGCCUAACACAUGCAAGUCGAACGAACUCUUCGGAGUUAGUGGCGGACGGGUGAGUAACACGUGGGAACGUGCCUUUUGGUUCGGAAUAACUCAGGGAAACUUGUGCUAAUACCGAAUGUGCCCAUCGGGGGAAAGAUUUAUCGCCAUUAGAGCGGCCCGCGUCUGAUUAGCUAGUUGGGGAGGUAACGGCUCACCAAGGCGACGAUCAGUAGCUGGUCUGAGAGGAUGACCCGCCACACUGGGACUGAGACACGGCCCAGACUCCUACGGGAGGCAGCAGUGGGGAAUCUUGCGCAAUGGGCGAAAGCCUGACGCAGCCAUGCCGCGUGAAUGAUGAAGGUCUUAGGAUUGUAAAAUUCCUUCACCGGGGACGAUAAUGACGGUACCCGGAGAAGAAGCCCCGGCUAACUUCGUG